ACGCGGCUCCGUUCCGUUCCGUUCCGUUCCGUUCUUACCUCAGCUAAACUGGGAUCGAUUCGGCAAAUCCCGGCCAGAGUCGGCCCUUCGGCCACACUCGGCUGUUGUCGGCCACACUCGGCUGUUGUCGGCCACACUCGGCUGUUGUCGGCCACGCUCGGCUGUUGUCGGCCACGCUCGGCUGUUGUCGGCUACACUCGGCCACACUCGGCUGUUGUCGGCCACACUCGGCUGUUGUCGGCCACGCUCGGCUCUUCGGCCGUACCUGACUCUGCUCCGCGGUGCAAUGGCGGCCGGUGGCAGGGCGCCGCUCCCCGGCCUGAGCCCCGUGAGGGGACAGAGCGCUGGGACAGCCGCCUCAGCCCGGGUCACCCAGUCCCUGCCGCCCCCGCGUCCCCCGGAGCGCGCCCUGCAGCGCAGAACGCGGCCUGGGAGCCAGGAGCGGGGACAAUCCCCUCGGCUCGGCAGCAGCGCCGGGAGGCAGCGGGCGGUGCCCUCAGGGCAGGACAAAUCAUCAAACUCCUCCCAUCUUUGCCAAAAGCUUUGGUGUUUAAGCAGCCAAAGGCAAGAGGCUUCAGCAGCAGGGGUCUGUGCUGGAGGGCUCUGGUCCUGCCCGUGCUGUGGGUAAGUCAGAGGGACACAGGGCUCCUCUUUUCCUCUCUGCUGGGAUUCACUGCCAUGGGAAUGCCAUUUCUGACAGCCCAGCCCUGGCUGUGUCUGCUGGAGAAGGGCAGAGGUGAAGAGACAAAUGCCAGAGUUGCCUGGGGAUGAUGGAGUUGUGGUGUUGGCUGUGCCCUGAGGGGCAGCUUGGGCAUUAUCUGUGCACCUAAGGACUGCUCUGGGGCUUCAGGAGCUCUCAGUGUAUUCCCAGCUCUGCCAGGGCUGGCAGCUGGGGCAGGGCUGGGUGACAGCCUCUGGUUGGGCUGGGGGCAGGCACUGGCCUGGCACAGAUGCAGGGGCAGGGCUGGGAGGAUUUGGGAGCAGUGGGAGGAGAAUGAGGGAUGGUGCUGGGCAGAGGGGUCAGCCUGUGCUCGUGUCAGCACAGCCCUGCAGGGCACUGGCAUCUGGGAACAGCUCCAGCUCUCCUGGUGUCCAGGGAUGGGGUCUGAGGGACUGGCUUUACCUGUGGCUUCCCAGGUCAGCAGGAACAAGGGGGAAUGUGGUGCCAGAGCUGUGGCCCAUCAGGCUGUGUUUCCCUCUGGGAAAGCAGAACAGUCUCUGGGCUGAGGUGAGUUUCCUGCAAGUGCUUAGAAGAGCAAUCCAGGGCAAAGGGAGUUCAGGAAUUGCAUCUGCUGCUGGGAACAGUGCCUUAGGCUUGCUUAGUUUGUGUCUGUGAGAGGUGGCCUUUGGGCUGGAGAGGUGCUGUUGGGAACAAAAGAU
Molecule: long non-coding RNA, 1380 nt
Filed under: Camarhynchus parvulus
Lineage: Eukaryota; Metazoa; Chordata; Aves; Passeriformes; Thraupidae
Description: lncRNA (ENSCPVG00000017553.1)
Source: RNAcentral